UGCAUCGAAUUGAGAACGCAGCGAAAUGCGAUACGUAGUGUGAAUUGCAGAAUUCCGCGAAUCAUCGAGUCUUUGAACGCAAGUUGCGCCCGAGGCUCGUCCGAGGGCAUUUCCGUUAGAGCGUCACC
RNAcentral lists this ribosomal RNA (128 nucleotides) under Orthomnion bryoides. RNAcentral describes it as "partial 5.8S ribosomal RNA". The stretch from base 13 to 126 matches the Rfam family "5.8S ribosomal RNA", at positions 40 to 154 of the family's 154-position model. Rfam says of the family: 5.8S ribosomal RNA (5.8S rRNA) is a component of the large subunit of the eukaryotic ribosome. It is transcribed by RNA polymerase I as part of the 45S precursor that also contains 18S and 28S rRNA. The record is from RNAcentral. Lineage: Eukaryota; Viridiplantae; Streptophyta; Bryopsida; Bryales; Mniaceae.